GACGAACGCUGGCGGCGUGCUUAACACAUGCAAGUCGAACGGAAAGGACCUGCUUUUGUGGGGUGCUCGAGUGGCGAACGGGGGAGUAACACGUGAGUAACCUGCCCUUGACUGUGGGAUAACUUCAGGAAACUGGGGCUAAUACCGGAUAGGAGCUCCUGCUGCAUGGUGGGGGUUGGAAAGUUUCGGCGGUUGGGGAUGGACUCGCGGCUUAUCAGCUUGUUGGUGGGGUAGUGGCUGACCAAGGCUUUGACGGGUAGCCGGCCUGAGAGGGUGACCGGCCACAUUGGGACUGAGAUACGGCCCAGACUCCUACGGGAGGCAGCAGUGGGGAAUAUUGCACAAUGGGCGGAAGCCUGAUGCAGCAACGCCGCGUGCGGGAUGACGGCCUUCGGGUUGUAAACCGCUUUCGCCUGUGACGAAGCGUGAGUGACGGUAAUGGGUAAAGAAGCACCGGCUAACUACGUG
RNAcentral lists this ribosomal RNA (468 nucleotides) under uncultured bacterium. RNAcentral's name for it is "partial 16S ribosomal RNA". It matches the Rfam family "Bacterial small subunit ribosomal RNA", at positions 28 to 507 of the family's 1533-position model. The record is from RNAcentral.